Molecule: ribosomal RNA, 289 nt
Filed under: Tarentola mauritanica (Moorish gecko)
Lineage: Eukaryota; Metazoa; Chordata; Lepidosauria; Squamata; Phyllodactylidae
Description: partial 12S ribosomal RNA
Source: RNAcentral
ACUCAAAACUCAAGGGACUUGACGGUGUCCCAAACCAACCUAGAGGAGCCUGUCCUAUAAUCGAUAACCCACGCUUCACCUUACCCCCCCUAGAAACCAGUCUGUAUACCACCGUCUCCCAGUUCGCCUGAUGACAGACCCAUAGCGAACACACCAGCCCACCGCUAAAACGACAGGUCAAGGUGCAACUAAUGGGGGGGCAGCGAUGGGCUACAUUUUCUAUAAUAGAACACCACCACCCGCCACAUGAAACAUGGGCCACAAGGCGGAUUUAGCAGUAAGCCAAACA